RNAcentral lists this ribosomal RNA (561 nucleotides) under uncultured bacterium. RNAcentral describes it as "bacterial SSU rRNA". It matches the Rfam family "Bacterial small subunit ribosomal RNA", at positions 338 to 916 of the family's 1533-position model. The record is from RNAcentral.
CCUACGGGAGGCAGCAGUGGGGAAUAUUGGACAAUGGGCGAAAGCCUGAUCCAGCAAUGCCGCGUGAGUGAUGAAGGCCUUCGGGUCGUAAAGCUCUUUUACCAGGGAUGAUAAUGACAGUACCUGGAGAAUAAGCUCCGGCUAACUCCGUGCCAGCAGCCGCGGUAAUACGGAGGGAGCUAGCGUUGUUCGGAAUUACUGGGCGUAAAGAGUACGUAGGCGGUUAUUCAAGUCAGAGGUGAAAGCCCGGGGCUCAACCCCGGAACUGCCUUUGAAACUAGAUAACUAGAGUCUUGGAGAGGUUAGUGGAAUUCCGAGUGUAGAGGUGAAAUUCGUAGAUAUUCGGAAGAACACCAGUGGCGAAGGCGACUAACUGGACAAGUACUGACGCUGAGGUACGAAAGCGUGGGGAGCAAACAGGAUUAGAUACCCUGGUAGUCCACGCCGUAAACGAUGAUAACUAGUUGUUCGGUCACUUGGUGACUGAGUGACGCAGCUAACGCAUUAAGUUAUCCGCCUGGGGAGUACGGUCGCAAGNUUAAAACUUAAAGGAAUUGACGG